Gossypium arboreum is the source of this 1981-nucleotide long non-coding RNA. RefSeq lists it as uncharacterized. The transcript is spliced from 8 exons. The record is from RefSeq and is a predicted model, not a curated record. Lineage: Eukaryota; Viridiplantae; Streptophyta; Magnoliopsida; Malvales; Malvaceae.
CGAUAGCUGUUCUUUUUACCCUUAACAAAAUUUCCCCCAUUCCAUCUCUUCUCCUUUAAUCCCUAAAUUUUCAUCCCCAAGUUCCCAACCCAUUUGCCACCGAAGACGCUGACUGGACCACCUGGUGCAUCGCCCUCGACUAACCUCUCUGUUGCGCCGCCGUCGCCGUCGUCGUCGCUCUCCACUCCUAAAAAAUAACUUUUGCUUACCCGCUCGUUACUCCCUCUUCUUCUCAUCUGUUUUUAAAGCCCUAUGUAUACUGAUUGGUUGGGCUACUUUGGUCUCUCAAUGAGAACUUCACAUGCUGAGGCUUAGCUGUCAGCAGUAGCCCAAUCUUGAGAACAAUGAUUAAUUUGUUUAUCAGUAGUUAACCUAGUAAAAAGUCUCUUGAAGAGCCAUCCACAUGUAUUCUUUUUCUUUUAAUAACCUCUUUUUCCCCAGAUUCUGUGGCCAGGUGGUACAUUCUUUACAAAAGCAGGGAAUAUUCACGGAAAAUUUGAGAAUACUCAGCCUAACCAGGCACCUUCGCAGAACUUCAGCCAAUUUGGUGGGGAUCAUAGUGGUGACCUGCUGUGACUUUUGGAUCUGUGGUUCACAUGCUUGCAAUUCUCAUAUGAGCAUUGCUUCGAAUGAUCCAAUUCCUUGGUCCAGAGUUGAAUGAUUAUAUUUCUAAUGACAAUUUCUGAAGUCCUUUUGGGUCUAGAUGGAGCUCCAACAGCCUUAGUUAGCUUAAUCGGGCAGAAGCAAUACAGACGAUGUGCAAGAGACAUAUAUUUUUUCACUCAGUUUUCCCUGAGCUGCGGGAUCUUGUGGUGGAUCUUCAUAGAAAGAAACAUAUUAAAGUUGCAUAGGAAGUUGCGGUUUCUAUUUCUGUGAAGGAAGUCUGCUGUUGUCUCAAUUACAUUCAUGGAAGUUUAGAAAAUGAAGAACGAUGCAGUCAACCAUCACCAUUGGCUUUGCCUGUGACAUUCACUGCUAUACCAAAAUACUAACUAUGACUGAGAGUGGCAUUGCUGAUCAGAUGCGGCUGACAGAACUAAUAUUGAAUGAUAUAUGCUUCUUUGAAAACCUUGCUUAUGCGUGUUAAUAUCUUCUUUAAUAUCUUCUGUAUGCAGAUCUUGUGUAGUUUAGUAUUCGGUGGUUAACUGCCAGUCACUUAACCAUUGAUAAUGUUGGUAUUCAGCCACAUUAAGUUAUUAGUUGUGGCUGUGCUAUCAAGGUAAUAAUUUGGUUUCCUCUGGCUUCUCAACUCUCUGAGCUUUUGUGUUCUCAGUGAUAUUUAAAAUAGUCAAGGGGAUAAGUUAGUACACUUUUUCGCUUAAAUGCUCUUUUUCUUUAUUAAAACGUGCUUGUAUUUAUGACUGAUUCAUGGAUCCAUGAUUUAUGUUAUUGGUUAUCUUACAGUUUUGUUCAAUAGUGCUCAAAUUUUUGAGAAAAUAUUUGGAGACGAAUUGAUCAUGGAUAUUAUUGGUUCUCUUGAAUAUGAUCCUGAUGUUCCUCAGGUGCAACACUAUCGGAAUUUUCUGAAAGAACAUGUUGUUUUUAAGGAGGUUUUUUCUUUAUUGAAGGAGACAGCACCUUUAUUCAAGAAUUGUUUGCUAGGUUGAGAUCACCCACCACAUCUGCUGAGUCAAAGAAGAAUUUGGAAAAACCAACUACACUAGAUUGCAGUCCAAGAACAAUUUGCAGAAGGCACAUAAUGGCUGGCUCCUACCUCUACAAAUGCAUAUGGAAGGCAUUGCAGUAGUGAAUAAGAAUGAUAUUGAUCAACAUGCAGUUGACACCGUAUGUGCUCUGAAUUCGAAUUCAGGUGUGAGUUUCAGAUAUUUUAUGUGCAAAAAAGUAUUAGAGUGCCUUAUGUUUGUAUGUUAAGCAGAUUAUAGUUAGAACCUGCAGUAGGAUUGAUCAAAAACUACACCCAGUUUUGUAAUAGUCUACUUGCAUAUUUGUAUAUAUUUAAUAAUAAUCUCGUGUCAACUAA